CGCAGACAGUACCACUGACUAGUCUUUUGACUGCAUGGUAGAGGAUGAUGCUCAGAAAAUAUACCAUGUGCCCGUUGCAGUUCUGGAGAAAUGAAAAGCUGCUCAAAAGGAGAAUACCAAUACCUUAGAGACCCCAUUACUAGAAAUGGAAAUGGGGGAUUUUCAUCAAAGGACAGAUUGAAAUGAAUAUGAAUGUUGUGCUCUGCCUGCCAGCCCCUCAGCAUGUGCAGUGGUAGAAGGAAGGGAAUCUUGCUUCCUCUUGAGCUGGAGCACCAUGAAUCUGGCAACUCUGCAGCCUCCUGAGACCAACAGCCUGCUCAGGAAGUGCUGAAUGUUACAAGCAAAUGCUUUGCAGGAGACUCAGGUUAACGUUUAUUCCAGCAUACCUGUGAACCUCGGUACUUCAGAGGACAUGGCUUGAUCUGC
This 426-nucleotide long non-coding RNA is filed under the name Gallus gallus (chicken). The record is from RNAcentral. Lineage: Eukaryota; Metazoa; Chordata; Aves; Galliformes; Phasianidae.